UACGAAGGGGGCUAGCGUUGCUCGGAAUCACUGGGCGUAAAGGGCGCGUAGGCGGCCAUUCAAGUCGGAGGUGAAAGCCCAGGGCUCAACCCUGGAAUUGCCUUCGAUACUGUCUGGCUAGAGACCGGAAGAGGUAAGUGGAACUGCGAGUGUAGAGGUGAAAUUCGUAGAUAUUCGCAAGAACACCAGUGGCGAAGGCGGCUCACUGGCCCGGUACUGACGCUGAGGUGCGAAAGCGUGGGGAGCAAACAGG
This 253-nucleotide ribosomal RNA is filed under the name uncultured bacterium. Its description in RNAcentral is "partial 16S ribosomal RNA". It matches the Rfam family "Bacterial small subunit ribosomal RNA", at positions 524 to 776 of the family's 1533-position model. The record is from RNAcentral.